UAUCUUUUAUCCCCCUCUCUCCUUAUCCCUUCGCACCCACGCCUAGCGAUCGAAGCCGCCGCAAGUCACCGCCGCUAGCCUGGAGGCCUCAUGCCGCCACCGCUCGCCCCUUUCUCUGUAGGUCACCCACGCACCUGGGACCCGGGGCCGUUUCCUCCUCCCCACCAGGCUCGAGGAGGCCCGAGGAGGUGACCAUGAGGAGCGCGCAGCCGCCGGAGCCAUGGGUAGAUCCAGACGGAACCGUCGGUAACCAUCCCUCCUUCCGGCGGAGAUGAAGAAUUGAAGAGGCUUGAGGAGAAUGGGCGCAUGGGCCGUGCGCGUCACCCGCGCUAGGAGCCACCGGUCCUCAUCAUCUGCUAGGAUCCACGAGGAAUCGAUCCAUAUAAUGUUUGCGGGAAGCUCGGUUAGUGUUGAUGCCUCAAGGGUUUAUGCAUAUCAAUUCCAUGUUGCUUAAAGCCACUGUAACCAUGGCUACUGGUUUCCAGGUAUAUGUUUAUGCAGUCAUAACGCGCUUGUUGACAACUCGUAUGGUAUGUUUAUAUUAUUUAUAACUUCUCCAUGGAAUGUCUACUGUUAAAAAACAUCUUGCAGGUACUUUAGUUAGGUACUAGAAAGCACAUACACACGCACAUGCCCAGCACAACCACAAGCACACACAUACAUCACAACACAUAUGUUCCACACAUACAUCACAUGCUUUUGACUUCUCAAUAGUAUGAUGAUGCAUUGCUCUGCCACUCUAAUUUUUUUGCACUGGGGCACUUUGCAUGUGCUUGCUCCUGUAGUUGUUCUGAUCUGUUCAAGUAAUGUCCAGAUACAACAAGUUAGUCUUGAUUUGUACAAGAACUAAGUAGAGUUGUCUCAACUCUUUUUUUUGUGGUUGUUUACCACACGUCCGCCACGUGGUGAUUGUUGAAACUCUAAAUACAAAUAGCGCAACAGUUUACUACUAUGUAGUAUUAAAUGGGAUUAUCUAGGCAAGCAGACACAACAUGGUUGAUUGUGGGCUGCCCACCCGUUUAACCAACGAUGGACCUAGGGGGCCAGCAGGGGCCACGGCAAAUCCUAUAUCCCUCUCCCAAACAGCAUCCGGUGAAAUAGAGUAAAUGCACUGCUCACAGAAGAUCCCAUUGACUAGUGAAAAGUAAAUAACCUUUUUGACUUUGCACUUCAAACACAAGGAUGUAGGAUGAGGCAAAGUACGCAGGUAACAUGAAAAAUACAUCAAAACAAGGCAAUUUUUGGUGUUGUAAUUUAUGGAUACCUCUUGGUUACUUUGUUUCAAAAUAAAUAAUUAAAUUUUGGCUGGCAUUUUCACUAAUGUAGCACCCAAAAAACUAAUCUUUGAUGGAUUGAGUACAACAGAAGUUCUAUGAAGUUUGAUUGGUAAUUGUUCGUUCGUCAUCAUAUAAUUCAACAUUUUGCUCUUGGGCCAUCUAUGUGAUAUGUCUAUGUUAUCAACUCUUUAUUAGUAAAAAUGGUACCUAUUUUGCCAUAUCCAUGGUCAAUUCCUAUAUUUUUUCCUUGGAAAAAAUCCUACUUAUUCCAUACAACAUGUUGCAUUUUAGAAUUUUGUUCAAUGUUCGGCCCCCCUUAUGUAUAAUUCCUGGCUCCGCCGUUGCGCCUAACACAUGCAUGCAGGUGUGGGCAUCCCUUUAUUAGUCCCACUUGCAGUCUGAAUGUGUAUCCCAAAGAAAGUGAAUGGUCAUGAUAGUCUUCCUGAACUACGACUAUGUGUAUCAAUUGAAGUAAUGUUCAUGCAAAUCCUAUAAUUAUUGUUGUUGAAUAAUAAUAUUGAUCAUAAUAUAGGUUGCAUCCAAAGUAGUUUUAAAGAUUUUAACAUAUCCAAACCAGCGAAAUGUUGCAUAUGCUACUAUUCAGAGUAUUGAUCUAGAAACUAAGGUUGGUGAUAUUUAGUUAGGUGCCGAAUUUGCACUUGUGUGCAUAGAUGGACCUUUUCUGGAUAAUGAGGAGUUAGUAAGGUAAGUUUCUGAUUGCAAGAGAAUUGGUGAUGCUUUUGCUUCAGGAUACUUAAUUGUCCAACCUCCAGCUUUUGUAAGUCGGAGUCUUUUCUUCCAUAUUCCACCAUUAUAUUUGUAUGCAUUUGAUCACAUAACUGUAAGGUCCAUUUUCCUUUUACAGAUUCAAAAGAAGCAUAAUGGAGUUGCAGCUGAACUGUUCUUUGGUUGGAUGAAGAAUUAAAUGUAAUUAGAAGGUUUUACUUAGCAAUAAUUGUAGUUUGCAUUGAUAGAUUGAAAAAUGUAACACCAUUCAGAAGAUCUUUUUCUUUGGUCGAAUUGAUGCAAAUGCUAUGGUGUAAUAUUCUCAAUAGAUGUGUUCUCUAUAGUAAAAAAUAUAUGAAUGAUAUGUUGUCUAGCCAAUAACAUUGGUAUGUAUUUAUUGUAAUGCAUAUGUAUCCUACACUCUUGUAUAUUCAUAAUAAAUACCUUGAUAUUUUCAAUU
Long non-coding RNA from Triticum urartu, 2463 nucleotides. RefSeq lists it as uncharacterized. The record is from RefSeq and is a predicted model, not a curated record. NCBI's taxonomy places the organism in Eukaryota, Viridiplantae, Streptophyta, Magnoliopsida, Poales, Poaceae.